Molecule: antisense RNA, 75 nt
Filed under: Streptomyces albus subsp. albus DSM 41398
Lineage: Bacteria; Bacillati; Actinomycetota; Actinomycetes; Kitasatosporales; Streptomycetaceae
Description: ASpks TB sRNA
Rfam family: ASpks TB sRNA
Source: Rfam by way of RNAcentral
CUUGACCGAGCCGAGCCACAGGGGCCGGUCCUCCGCGCGGUCCUGCCCGUACGUGGCCAGCAGGGCCUGCGCCUC